AGUUUGAGGAGUUCCCGGCCGAAGACUGGACUGGUUUAGAUGAAGAUGAAGAUGCACAUGUCUGGGAAGACAAUUGGGAUGAUGACAAUGUAGAAGAUGAUUUCUCCAAUCAGUUAAGUAUAUCUAUCUCUUCUAUACAGAGCUGAAUUAGAAAAACAUGGAUACAAGAUGGAAACGUCAUAGUUUUUGCAGAAUAUGGAGUGGCUUAACAUGGAACUGUGGAUAGACU
Neopelma chrysocephalum (saffron-crested tyrant-manakin) is the source of this 229-nucleotide long non-coding RNA. RefSeq lists it as uncharacterized. The record is from RefSeq and is a predicted model, not a curated record. NCBI's taxonomy places the organism in Eukaryota, Metazoa, Chordata, Aves, Passeriformes, Pipridae. The transcript is spliced from 3 exons.